Molecule: ribosomal RNA, 253 nt
Filed under: uncultured bacterium
Lineage: Bacteria
Description: partial 16S ribosomal RNA
Rfam family: Bacterial small subunit ribosomal RNA
Source: RNAcentral
UACGUAGGGGGCGAGCGUUAUCCGGAUUUACUGGGCGUAAAGCGCGUUAAGGCGGCCGACAAAGUUGGUGGUGAAAUUUCAGGGCUCAACUCUGAAACUGCCUCCAAUACUGGUCGGCUUGAGUGCGAUAGAGGAAGGUGGAAUUCCCGGUGUAGUAGUGAAAUGCGUAGAUAUCGGGAAGAACACCCGUGGCGAAGGCGGCUCUCUGGGACGGUACUGACGCUGAGACGCGAAAGCGUGGGGAGCGAACAGG